This 253-nucleotide ribosomal RNA is filed under the name uncultured bacterium. RNAcentral describes it as "partial 16S ribosomal RNA". It matches the Rfam family "Bacterial small subunit ribosomal RNA", at positions 524 to 776 of the family's 1533-position model. The record is from RNAcentral.
UACAGAGGUCUCAAGCGUUGUCCGGAAUCACUGGGCGUAAAGCGCGCGCAGGCGGCGAUCUACGUCUGGGGUGAAAGCCCGGAGCUCAACUCCGGGACUGCCUUGGAUACGGGAUCGCUUGAGGAUUGGAGAGGCAAGGGGAAUUCCACGUGUAGCGGUGAAAUGCGUAGAUAUGUGGAGGAACACCUGUGGCGAAGGCGCCUUGCUGGCCAAUUUCUGACGCUGAGGCGCGAAAGCGUGGGGAGCAAACAGG